UAGGGAAUCUUCCACAAUGGGCGCAAGCCUGAUGGAGCAACACCGCGUGAGUGAAGAAGGGUUUCGGCUCGUAAGGCUCUGUUGUUAAAGAAGAACACGUAUGAGAGUAACUGUUCAUACGUUGACGGUAUUUAACCAGAAAGUCACGGCUAACUACGUGCCUG
RNAcentral lists this ribosomal RNA (164 nucleotides) under uncultured bacterium. RNAcentral describes it as "partial 16S rRNA". It matches the Rfam family "Bacterial small subunit ribosomal RNA", at positions 355 to 511 of the family's 1533-position model. The record is from RNAcentral.